CAAGUCAUUGAUAAAAUCUACAUUUAUAAAUUCAAAAUCUUUUUAAACUGCUUGCCACUUUUAUCGGGGGGUUGAACUGCUGCGUAUAAAUUACACAUCCGAUUUUUAUGCAUAGAAACUCCCAGAAAAACCACGAUGCUAACAGGGGAACUCCAAAUCGAUUUGCUGCGCCAGGUAACAAACCCACUUCUCUUUAGAGCCUUAAACUCCUAAUUCUUCAUCACUCUAAACCCUAAUUGCCAACA
Molecule: unclassified non-coding RNA, 245 nt
Filed under: Hevea brasiliensis (rubber tree)
Lineage: Eukaryota; Viridiplantae; Streptophyta; Magnoliopsida; Malpighiales; Euphorbiaceae
Source: RNAcentral